This is a microRNA precursor of Oryza sativa Japonica Group (Japanese rice), 205 nucleotides long. It matches the Rfam family "MIR812 microRNA precursor family". Lineage: Eukaryota; Viridiplantae; Streptophyta; Magnoliopsida; Poales; Poaceae. The record is from Rfam.
AAAAAGGCAAACCCUAGGUUUACGUGUCCAACUUUGACUGUCCGUCUUAUAUGAAAUUUUUUUAUAAUUCGUAUUUUCAUUGUUGUUAGAUGAUAAAACAUGAUUAAUAUUUUAUGUGUGAUUUGUCUUUUUAUUUUUUUUCAUAAUUUUUUCAAAUAAGACGGACGGUCAAACGUUGGACACGGAAACCAGGGUUUGUCUUUUU